CCUACGGGGCGCAGCAGUGAGGAAUAUUGGUCAAUGGGCGGAAGCCUGAACCAGCCAAGUCGCGUGAGGGAAUAAGGCCCUACGGGUCGUAAACCUCUUUUGCCGGGGAGCAAGGGCGGGGACGUGUCCCGGCCCGGAGAGUACCCGGAGAAAAAGCAUCGGCUAACUCCGUGCCAGCAGCCGCGGUAAUACGGAGGAUGCGAGCGUUAUCCGGAUUUAUUGGGUUUAAAGGGUGCGCAGGCGGCGUGUCAAGUCAGCGGUAAAAUGUCGGGGCUCAACCCCGGCCGGCCGUUGAAACUGGCGUG
RNAcentral lists this ribosomal RNA (305 nucleotides) under uncultured bacterium. RNAcentral's name for it is "bacterial SSU rRNA". It matches the Rfam family "Bacterial small subunit ribosomal RNA", at positions 338 to 640 of the family's 1533-position model. The record is from RNAcentral.